RNAcentral lists this long non-coding RNA (1241 nucleotides) under Amborella trichopoda. RNAcentral's name for it is "long non-coding RNA (ATRI_LNC000205)". The record is from RNAcentral. Lineage: Eukaryota; Viridiplantae; Streptophyta; Magnoliopsida; Amborellales; Amborellaceae.
UCACUUUGCAUUUAUUAUAAUCACAUAACAUCCUUGCAAAUAAUCAAGACCCCAUUAGAUGAAGGAACAUGGAAACUAACACCAUAUAUUGAGGGGCCUGGGAUUCAUUUAACAUCAGCAAAUGACGUUGCAUUGGCAGAUAGUAGGCUUGGUGCAAAUUCCUCCGAAUAGGGCCUGCUUCCUGCACUCCCUGAUACACGCGUAAUCAUCAGUACAGGGGUUGAAUGGCAAAUCAACCUUGCAUAGCAUCUGUGCCGAAACACCCUCUGCAUCAAGUUUUGUCAAGCAUGAAUUAUGUGAGAGAAACACAACCUUCAUCUUAAGUUUAAAGAGAGAGAGAAAAGAGUUUAUUGGCACUUUGAUAGUAAAUUGACAGACUCUUAAAAUGACCAGAAAUUUGUAUGCACCCUUGAUUAUGAAUCUUAAACAACCAAAAUGCUGUAGAUUGAGUAAAUCUAUAAACAUUUGAAAUUCUUGAAAACAUCCUCAAUAACCAUCUAGUUGUAAUUAGAUGCAUCCUGAAAUUUCAAACUUAAAACAAAAAAGAAAAGCAAAACUGGAUCCCACAAUUACUUAUGCCCGUUGUUUCAAAGCCCGGAUCGGUAGGGCUGAUUGUUCACCCAUAGAUCUAUGAUGGAUCGUUACAUCGGACAUUCAGAUUCGGCUGCAUCUAUCCGAAUCGGUCAUCCAGAAGAAACACGGAUUUAAGGGGGGGAACCAGGCCAAGACCCAUACCAUCUUGGAAUUGCCCAAUCGAUUCCCAUCUCAACGACCUCGAUUGGAAAUUGCCCUAUUUUAAAACACCGCUUAUGCCUCCAAUAAACAUUGAUAUAAUGGCUUUAAAGAAGGGGAACUAAAAAAACGAAAAAAAAAACACAAGCAACAACUGAAAUAAUUAGGAAUCGGGCUUAGUACUUAGUACUUGAGUGGUAGCAAUUGUCAUUAGCGACAUUAUAUCUCAUUUUUUAUCACUAAACUGCUAAAAAUAAUGAAAAAAUUCACAAGCAAUAACACAAAAAAUUGAAAAAAAAGAAAAAACAAAAAAAUCGUUAAGAUUAAAAGUAAUUCAAAACAAGCCAACAUGAUGAGACCAAUCAUUUGUAAAAAAACCAAAAUGAUAAAUGAAGCACUACACAUAUGAAGGGUAGGCAUGAAAAGCUUACCAUAAGAGAGGACAAGCAUAAGAGUGAAAAAGAGGGGAACCAUCAUGCUUUGUGAGAAAAGAGAUUGUUUACAAUGCC